This is a long non-coding RNA of Lagopus leucura (white-tailed ptarmigan), 404 nucleotides long. RefSeq lists it as uncharacterized. NCBI's taxonomy places the organism in Eukaryota, Metazoa, Chordata, Aves, Galliformes, Phasianidae. The transcript has 4 exons. The record is from RefSeq and is a predicted model, not a curated record.
AGGAGGGGACGGGAGGGGAGCGGGGAGCUGGCAUGCAGCCAGCUACCAUCAGAAUUAGCUCAUUGUUCAAUAUAACCAGCGCUGGCAGCCAAAUCCCAGCCCGAGAGAGAGGGAGACUUUCCCCCAGCCACCCCCCACCCCUUUUUCUCCACGACUGCACUUUGGAAGAGAUCAUGUAGAAAGGACAGAAAGUGAGCAGGGAGCGGGGGCUUUUGUCUAUCCUUGUGCUACCUGAGAGAAACUGCAAUCCUAAGACUUAACAGAAUCUAAAAAUGCACCCAUCUAUAAAGACAAACUUUUUGAAGUUAAGGAGAUUUGCCAUACAGUGAUGGAUGUACCUUGAAAGUCUCCGCAUGUUGAAUCUUUGAUUUUCUUGCAAUUUUUGAAUAAAAAUCUGAAAUCUC